RNAcentral lists this ribosomal RNA (710 nucleotides) under uncultured bacterium. RNAcentral's name for it is "bacterial SSU rRNA". It matches the Rfam family "Bacterial small subunit ribosomal RNA", at positions 94 to 823 of the family's 1533-position model. The record is from RNAcentral.
AGCGGCGGACGGGUGAGUAACGCGUGGGUAACCUGCCCUGUACACACGGAUAACAUACCGAAAGGUAUGCUAAUACGAGAUAAUAUGCUUUUAUCGCAUGGUAAAAGUAUCAAAGCUCCGGCGGUACAGGAUGGACCCGCGUCUGAUUAGCUAGUUGGUAAGGUAACGGCUUACCAAGGCGACGAUCAGUAGCCGACCUGAGAGGGUGAUCGGCCACAUUGGAACUGAGACACGGUCCAAACUCCUACGGGAGGCAGCAGUGGGGAAUAUUGCACAAUGGGCGAAAGCCUGAUGCAGCAACGCCGCGUGAGCGAUGAAGGCCUUCGGGUCGUAAAGCUCUGUCCUCAAGGAAGAUAAUGACGGUACUUGAGGAGGAAGCCCCGGCUAACUACGUGCCAGCAGCCGCGGUAAUACGUAGGGGGCUAGCGUUAUCCGGAAUUACUGGGCGUAAAGGGUGCGUAGGUGGUUUCUUAAGUCAGAGGUGAAAGGCUACGGCUCAACCGUAGUAAGCCUUUGAAACUGGGAAACUUGAGUGCAGGAGAGGAGAGUGGAAUUCCUAGUGUAGCGGUGAAAUGCGUAGAUAUUAGGAGGAACACCGGUUGCGAAGGCGGCUCUCUGGACUGUAACUGACACUGAGGCACGAAAGCGUGGGGAGCAAACAGGAUUAGAUACCCUGGUAGUCCACGCCGUAAACGAUGAGUACUAGCUGU